Molecule: non-coding RNA, 2714 nt
Organism: Nelumbo nucifera (sacred lotus)
Lineage: Eukaryota; Viridiplantae; Streptophyta; Magnoliopsida; Proteales; Nelumbonaceae
Source: RefSeq, a predicted model, not a curated record
GUGGCGUUGAUAGAUGGUAACAACAUCUAUCAUCUUCGUUGAGCUCCACAGGCCGAAACCAACGGUCUUCGAAUCUCCCUAUACCUGGGAACUCACUACGAUGGGUCACGCCGGAGAAGAUGAACACGGUGUCGUCGGAAAAAAGAAACCCUAGGUGUAUCGGACAAAGGGAUUUAGAGAGGCUGGAGUUGUUUUCUCAUUCUAAAGAGGAAGAUUUUAGUGCCAUUGAUUCAGACGACACACUAAGUUUAGGGAGUAUCGACCUAAGCAGCUCAAGAAAUGUGUUUGAUGAAGACAGUCUGGGAACAGAGGUAUUUUUUCAAGAGAACAAGGAAGAAGAUGAGGCACCAAAGUUUAAGGCUACGGUUCAGGUGCCGCUUGUACCUGCAAAGGAAGUCAGUCCAUUAGUGCAGGAAGAGCAGGAUAUGAUGCUGGUAGGAAACUCUUCUUAUGCUCCAACCUGCAACGUAACACUAGAAGAAGGACAAAAAUGGAAGUCUUUCACCUAUUAAAGCAGACAGGGUUUUGAUUCACGGUGUAAACUCUCUCACGCAAGCUCAGUCACAGGGAACAUCUUUAGGCCCAUCUCCUUACGAGAAUCCCUCUCCCUUGGAAGUCGUCCCCUCAGUCCCAAACAUUACAGUUGCAAGGUCGAAGCAUGGUAUCAACUUGUGCCAAAGGAUGUUCUUGACUUGCUAGAGGAGACGAGAUUGUUAGGUGCCAAAGCAGUUGAAACACCAAUGGAGCUAAAUGUCAAAUGAACCAUUGAUGCAGGUGAAGAAUUUGAAGAUCCUGGAAGGUACAAAAGAUUAGUGGGUAAGUUAAACUACUUGACUAUUACUCCGCCAAAUAUAUAACUUGCAAUUAGUGUGGUAAGUCGGUUUAUGCAAAAUCCUCGAGUUCCACAUUGGGAUGUAGUUCUAACUUCUAAGAAUUGUGCGAUAUUUGAAGGGGGCUCCAAGUUUUGGUUUGUUAUACAAAGACAGGAAGAAGUUUUGAGAUAGAAGGUUACACAGAUGCUGAUUGGAUUGACUCAAUAUCUGACAGAAGAUCCAAUACAAGGUAUUACACUUUUUUUUGGAGGGAAUCUGGUGACAUGGAAGAGCAAGAAACAAAUUGUAGUAGCAAGGAGCAGUGUUGAAGCUGAAGCCAUGGCACACAUUGCUUGUGAAUUGGUGUGGUUAAAGAAUCUCUUGCAGGAGAUUGGGUACUCAGUUGACAGCCCUAUGAAGUUAUACUGUGACAACCAAGCUAUAGUUCACAUCUCAUUUAAUCCAGUUUUCCACGAAAGAAUGAAGCACAUAGAGGUUGAUUUCCACUUUGUAAGAGAAAAAGGGGCUUAGUAGAGUGGUAAGCACAACACAUGUGAAUUCAGAAAAUCAUUGGGCAAAUUUGUUUUCAAAAGGGUUGAGUUAGGGAAGAGUGGAUUACAUAUGUAACAAGCUAGGAUUAUAUGACAUAUACUCAUCAGCUUGAGGGGGAGUGUUAGAGUCAACAAUCAAGAGGGUAUUUUAAUCUUUGUGCUUUGUUAUUAAGAAUUACUUUGUCUAGUUUGUCUCAGUUUAAGUUAUGUGUCCCAUACUUAAUUAGGGACAUAAGAGUCUUUGUACCUUGAGUUCAAAACAUAUAAAUAAGGAGUUGGUUGGCUAGGAGAGUGUGAUUUUUCUCUUCAGUUGUUUCUCUUUAUUCUCUUCUCCUUCUCUUUCUGUUCUUCCUCUCUAUUCUUUCAUUCUUACUUUUGCCCUAGAAUUGAACCAGUGCUAACCGAACCAUUAACACAUUCCAUCACCUUUCUUUCUUUCUUCUCAGAAGAGUGUGCCACUUCACUCCACGUCAUUGUUAUAUCAGUCCUUGAGAAGCUUUGAAAGAGAUAAAAGUGUUUUUACCUAGUGUGCAACUUUUAUCUGUAUAGUCUCCACUAGUUCUUCAUUUGACCUAUACUUCUCGUUGAAAAUUCUUGCAUUCCAUUCCUCCUAUACAGUUCAUACCACUACUGCCCUAACUGAUUUCCACAUAACUCUUCCUAUUUUUGUUGGCUUCCUUAGAAAGUUUGGGUUCAAGCUUAGUACAUCCUGGGGAGUACCUCACCUGCAACCUAAGGGAGAAAAAAAAAGCAAAAAAAGCAAUGGAUCAGUAAAUGGGGUAGGGAUUCACCAUUUGCAAAGCAAAGAGAAUAUACAUGGGGGAGGCAUUUAUUCGACCUUCUCUUUUGAAGCAUGUCACAAGCGUUCACCUUCCCAAGAAAAACCUUCUUGUAGAGAGCAUGGAUUUUUGGUGGAAUGAGCGUACUCCAUAUCUCUUUCACCAAGAAAUUCUCUCUCCCAACAAGAGUUUGCACAAGAGUAUUGAAAAAAGAAGCAUAGAUAAAGAUGCCAUCAGAUGAGGUAGACCAAAUUCUAGUGUCCUCCAAAGAUUGAACCAAGAAGGCUGACUUAAGUUUGUCUAGCAAAUGAAUAAGGGAUUCACACUCAUUAUCCCUUAAUUCUCUCCUAAAACCAAAGUCCCAACUCAAUCCAAAGUGAGAAAAAGUGACAGAAUUUGAUAUAUGUUGUAACUUGUAGUCAGAUAUUGAAUAAAGAGAACAAAAAGGAAUAUCGUCCAACCAAAGAUCUUCCCAAAAGAGUACCCUAGAACCACAACCCACGUCAAAUCUAAUGAGAUUAAUAAAGAUCGGAUAUACCUCUUGUAUUGCUUUCCAUGGAGAGCUCGAGGUU